CGGCGGCCAUGGCCCAGGUGAGACGCCCGGUCCCAUUCCGAACCCGGAAGCUAAGGCCUGGCACGGCGAUGGUACUGCACCCGACAGGGUGUGGGAGAGUAGCACGCCGCCGCAUC
RNAcentral lists this ribosomal RNA (116 nucleotides) under Bifidobacterium longum subsp. longum. The record is from RNAcentral. RNAcentral also lists the same sequence under 4 other names. Lineage: Bacteria; Bacillati; Actinomycetota; Actinomycetes; Bifidobacteriales; Bifidobacteriaceae.